CAUCAUUAGUACAUUCUAAUUCUUCAAAAUUUUAUCUGCAUCUACCAUCUCAUUUACUUUUCUCAAUAAUCCUAUAAUAGUUAACAUUAUUCAUCAUGAAUUUGCAGAACACAGAUUCAAGGCAAAUAAGCACAGUCUUGCAUUUCUGUGAACUUGAAAUAUUUUUGUAUUUUUAGGUUUGAACAUCUACACUUUCUACCUGGAAAACCCUUGAUACACUACCCUUUUUUAUCUAGAAAAUUUCUACUCAUUCUUCAAGACUAAGAUCAAGUUCAACUCCUCUACAGAGUCUUCCCUGAACAGCCUAGGCUGGGCCCUGUGCCACUCCUGUAGGCUCUGUGGCUUCCUGUGCCUCCCUCUGUCAUAACCCUCUUGCCCUGAGCUUGCUGUUUAUGGU
This 397-nucleotide long non-coding RNA is filed under the name Pan troglodytes (chimpanzee). RNAcentral describes it as "long non-coding RNA NONPTRT009968". Lineage: Eukaryota; Metazoa; Chordata; Mammalia; Primates; Hominidae. The record is from RNAcentral.